RNAcentral lists this non-coding RNA (223 nucleotides) under Staphylococcus argenteus. Lineage: Bacteria; Bacillati; Bacillota; Bacilli; Caryophanales; Staphylococcaceae. The record is from RNAcentral.
AUAAAGUUGAAGGAUUAGUAAUUAAAUUUUUACGAUUCAGAGAGUGUACGGUUGCUGAGAGUACAACGUAAAAUUAAUGAAUGCACCUUCGUAUACUUAACUAAAUAUAUAAUGAGAGUAAUUGGUAUUUUAAAGAAGAUGUUUGCAAACAUUGCAACUUUGUUAAUCUUUUAAGGUGCCGUUUACUGAAUUCAGAGUGGAACCGUGCGGAAGCGCCUCUAAC